GACGAACGCUGGCGGCGUGCUUAACACAUGCAAGUCGAGCGGUAAGGCCCCUUCGGGGGUACACGAGCGGCGAACGGGUGAGUAACACGUGGGUGACCUGCCCUCAGCUCUGGGAUAAGCCUGGGAAACUGGGUCUAAUACCGGAUAUGACUCCAUGACGCAUGUCGUGGGGUGGAAAGCCUUGUGCGGCUGGGGGAUGGGGCCCGCGGCCUAUCAGCUUGUUGGUGGGGUGAUGGCCUACCAAGGCGACGACGGGUAGCCGGCCUGAGAGGGCGACCGGCCACACUGGGACUGAGACACGGCCCAGACUCCUACGGGAGGCAGCAGUGGGGAAUAUUGGACAAUGGGCGCAAGCCUGAUCCAGCCAUGCCGCGUGAGUGAUGAAGGCCUC
RNAcentral lists this ribosomal RNA (391 nucleotides) under uncultured bacterium. Its description in RNAcentral is "bacterial SSU rRNA". It matches the Rfam family "Bacterial small subunit ribosomal RNA", at positions 28 to 418 of the family's 1533-position model. The record is from RNAcentral.